Molecule: ribosomal RNA, 305 nt
Filed under: uncultured Succinivibrionaceae bacterium
Lineage: Bacteria; Pseudomonadati; Pseudomonadota; Gammaproteobacteria; Aeromonadales; Succinivibrionaceae
Description: partial 16S ribosomal RNA
Source: RNAcentral
GGAGUCUGGGCCGUGUCUCAGUCCCAAUGUGGCUGAUCAUCCUCUCAGACCAGCUAGAGAUCGUCGCCUAGGUGAGCCUUUACCUCACCUACUAGCUAAUCCCGUUUGGGCACAUCUGAUAGCGCAUUGCUGCUUUCACCCUCAGGCUUUAUGCGGUAUUAGCAGUCGUUUCCAACUGUUGUCCCCCUCUAUCAGGUAGUUUCCCAAAUGUUACUCACCCGUGCGCCGGUCGCCAUCACAGAUAGCAAGCUACCUGCAUGCUGCCCCUCGACUUGCAUGUGUUAAGCCUGUAGCUAGCGUUCAUC